This is a long non-coding RNA of Lonchura striata (white-rumped munia), 2030 nucleotides long. The record is from Ensembl. Lineage: Eukaryota; Metazoa; Chordata; Aves; Passeriformes; Estrildidae.
ACCCUGCCCCAGUCCCCGACCCGCAGCCUACCUGGGGUGGGCUCCCAGCGGGAGAUGCUGGGAAGAAGGGAAGAAUCGGGCAAGGCUGCUGGGGAGAACGGGAUUCGGGAAGCAGAUUCCUCCCUCCUCUGCAAUUGUGCAACCUGAGCGCUGCUCUAGCGCAGCAGCAGCGGAAUGGGGAAUCUGACCUAGAAACUGGCAAAAAAAAUUACAAGGAGGAAUGGGAACCACGGGGAGAAAAUUGUUAUUAUUUAGUAUUCUUUGGCAGCAUUAACUAAAGGUAAUUUUGGUAACCCAGACCAUCCUGCACUUCUCAUCUGAGUUAGAUACUCCAGAAGCUGCAGUGGUAAAUUCCUUACCUCAAGGUGGGGUGAUCCACACAGAGCCCACAGGUACCUGCAGUUCCCCAACUGGCUGUGGGACAUUGACCCUGAUAAACUCAUUUCCCAGGAGCUGCAGAGUCCCCCAGGUAGGCCAGCCCCCAAAGAGGGGGCACAGAGGACUUUGGGACCCACUCCCAAAGUGGUUUGACUGCUGACUACCAGAGCCACCUGCUCUGGCGCCUCUGGCCAUCUGCAGUGUUUCCCCAAAGAAGCCAUUUCCUGGGAUUUUGGGGAAAUUUCUCAGUGCUGGGGACACAAGCAGAGACACACACAGAUCAGAGCAAAUUCAGGGCACACUUUCCCAAGAGGUGGAGAAAAAGAAGAUAAGCUCUUGGGCAGCAAAUGUUUUUUUCUCUUCCCAACCCACAGCCAGCCCAACAAAGAGCUCCUGGGCCCCAGCAGGCAGCCAGGGCUACUUUGUGCUCCUGCUCUCCUUUAAUGCAUACUUGGGGAUAUUUAGCACAAAAGCUGCACCUUCUUCACCAGGAACACAAUGCUAAGGGUCCCCGGGUGAGAAGAGGACAAUUAUCUCAAGAGCGUGAUUGCCAGAUUUCUUCUUCAUUAGAAGACACCUAUGCACCAAGGGAAGGAAGACAACCUAAAUUUUGUCAACAUUACCCAAAAAGGAUUUAUCCCAGCCUAUUUAUUUGAAAAACAGAGAAGCUCUUCAGCGUGAAGGUUUCUUAGCAGACAGCAAGGUAACAAAAGCCAAGAAAAGAACAAGACAAAAAGCCACCCUUUUUCCAGGUGAUGCCCAGGGAGCUUUUGGGGAGACAGCAAAUCUCACACACAAUUACGAGGUGCUGAAUUGCAACAGAGAAUCCAGGCCAUCAACAUGCAAGUGAAAACACCUUCCACUAGAGCAGAUUGCUCCAAGCCCAUCCAACCUGGCACUGAAUGCUCACAGGGAUGGGGCAACCACACACACCUUUACCAUUUCUGCCUCCAAACUGCUGGAGCAUCAGCACAGUCUGCAUCAGUUGUGGAUGAAAAAUCCUUAAUUGUUUCAAGAUAAUCCAGUUCAAGUGCCAGUAAUUGCAUCUUCUGCCAUUUCAACCAGUUUAACGUUACAGACAUUGCUCCUAAAUGUGGAGAACCUUUGCUGAUUCUGCAGAAAACAACCCUCAGCCACCUGCAUCUCCUAAUAGCAACAGCCCACAGGGAUUUUUUUAUUUUAUUUUUUUGCCUUUCCUUUCAGGGGGUGAAGACGUCUGCACAUCAGAGCUGUUUUGUCACCUUUAGCACGGUUUGUCAAUCUGUUUAAUCAAGGCCAUCAUGAGCAGAGAAUUAAUUUUUCAAGAUGUAAAAUCAUUUUUUCAUGCAGGGAAUGAGCACCUGGCUGGAGAGGAGCAGGAGAAAGGCUGGGGGGAUGUGGAGAAUACCAGAAAGCAAAGGUUCAAAAAUGCAACUGUCACUCCUGGGAUUAUGGGCACCUGAUUAAUGGCUUGCCAAAGGCUAAUUAGCUAAAUUUGGACCAAAACCACUGGUAAUGGGUGAUAUUAGGACAUUAAUUAAUGAUGCCAAAAAUUUAGCAAUGAUAUAUCCCUUCCUAAGGCAGGGGAGAUAGAACUGAAUAAUCUUUACAGAUUUAUGGUCAACAGAGCAUCAGGGAAACAAGAAAAAACAAUAAAUAAAAAUAUGAAAACA